UACGAAGGGGACUAGCGUUGUUCGGAAUUACUGGGCGUAAAGAGCUCGUAGGCGGUCUGUCGCGUCGGAUGUGAAAACCCAGGGCUCAACCCUGGGCCUGCAUUCGAUACGGGCAGACUAGAGUUCGGUAGGGGAGACUGGAAUUCCUGGUGUAGCGGUGAAAUGCGCAGAUAUCAGGAGGAACACCGGUGGCGAAGGCGGGUCUCUGGGCCGAAACUGACGCUGAGGAGCGAAAGCGUGGGGAGCAAACAGG
This 253-nucleotide ribosomal RNA is filed under the name uncultured bacterium. RNAcentral describes it as "partial 16S ribosomal RNA". It matches the Rfam family "Bacterial small subunit ribosomal RNA", at positions 524 to 776 of the family's 1533-position model. The record is from RNAcentral.